Eufriesea mexicana is the source of this 450-nucleotide long non-coding RNA. RefSeq lists it as uncharacterized. Lineage: Eukaryota; Metazoa; Arthropoda; Insecta; Hymenoptera; Apidae. The record is from RefSeq and is a predicted model, not a curated record. The transcript has 4 exons.
UGUAGAGAGAUAGUUUUGUGAGCAUAUCUUGUCUUGUGGGUAUUUACAAAAAGAUGAGGAGGAUUUCCACUUGUAUUCAGUAACGUGGGAAAAGAUCCCUUGUUAAUGAUGGCUAUAUGAGACAACAUUUUCAUUCGUACAUUGAAAAUAAAGAACGCAAGGUGCAAUAAAAUGUUAGAAAUUUCGCGACACAAGUGCUAUGGAUUAAAUUAUUCAUGAUUUGGUAAAAUAAACGUAAUACUGUAUUUAUAUCAUAGCAAGGGGAAAAAGCUAUAUCUGAAAUAUCUGAAGGAAUGUUUCACUCAACAGUUAAUCACUUCGAUAUCUGUUGGUGAAAUCGGUUUAAUACAACGCGUUAACCCCUUCUAAAAAUAAAAGAGGCGAUAAAAGGCAGGGUCUCUCAUUGAAGCAGAGAAAGUUUCCAAGGCACUGGGAUAGAUUUGGUACUUG